This 301-nucleotide ribosomal RNA is filed under the name uncultured bacterium. RNAcentral's name for it is "partial 16S ribosomal RNA". It matches the Rfam family "Bacterial small subunit ribosomal RNA", at positions 509 to 807 of the family's 1533-position model. The record is from RNAcentral.
CAGUCGCCACGGGAAUACGUAGGGUGCGAGCGUUAAUCGGAAUUACUGGGCGUAAAGCGUGCGCAGGCGGUUUUGUAAGACAGGCGUGAAAUCCCCGGGCUCAACCUGGGAAUGGCGCUUGUGACUGCAAAGCUAGAGUGCGGCAGAGGGGGAUGGAAUUCCGCGUGUAGCAGUGAAAUGCGUAGAUAUGCGGAGGAACACCGAUGGCGAAGGCAAUCCCCUGGGCCUGCACUGACGCUCAUGCACGAAAGCGUGGGGAGCAAACAGGAUUAGAUACCCCGGUAGUCCCUGUCUCUUAUAC